Long non-coding RNA from Dama dama (fallow deer), 777 nucleotides. RefSeq lists it as uncharacterized. The transcript has 3 exons. The record is from RefSeq and is a predicted model, not a curated record. Lineage: Eukaryota; Metazoa; Chordata; Mammalia; Artiodactyla; Cervidae.
UAGGAGAGGCUACUUUGAGGAGUGAGGAUAUUCAGCCAGGUUAGCCCACACACCUGCCAGUGUGGCUCUCGCGCCUCGAACCUGAGCCAAAGCUAGUGCGGAAGGGCUGUGCAGGCUGACAUAGACUUCCACCGAGGGAGACCCUGGUGCUGACCUGCUGGCGACCUGUGGGCCUGCCCUACACUGCUCUGAGCAGACCAGUGGCGGCCUGUGAUUAUCAUAACAUGCCUUCUAUGUUCAAGGUCACCUCACCAUCAAGAGAUGGCUGUCGGAGCUCUAUCCAUCACUUCUGCCUUACAGACAUCAGGAAGAAGGGAAGCAGGGAGGAGGGAGGUCCCUGACCUGCUCCCUUGCCUUCGUGUUCCAGGAAGAGGGAGGUCAUUGCCCAUGCAAAGGACGCUGCAGAUGCCCAGUUAAGCCCAAGAACCCCCUCUGCUUCAGAGUUGAUGACAUCUUCUGCUCCCCAGCAGAAGGUUGAGCUUGAACUUUUUAUGGGCCCUGAUAACAGCUGGGGAUUCCUCUCCCCCUCUGUUUUCCUGCCACCCACAGCCUCCCGAGAGGCAGGAUAAAAGAGAAUGUUGUUGCUUUUCCUUUCUUCUCUAGCUUUGAUUUCCUCUUCCUCCUCUAUGUUUCAGAAAACGGUAAAACAAGCAAACAAAUAAAACAGAACUCAGUCCCUUCUGAGCUUUGCUUUCCUUCCUGGUCUCCCCUGCAUCAACUCCCCUGCCCCCGUGGUCCUACACCAAUUCCCUGCUGACUUUAUUCUCAGUUUCUCCU